Molecule: ribosomal RNA, 441 nt
Filed under: uncultured bacterium
Lineage: Bacteria
Description: partial 16S ribosomal RNA
Rfam family: Bacterial small subunit ribosomal RNA
Source: RNAcentral
CCUACGGGCGACAGCAGUGGGGGAUAUUGCACAAUGGGGGGAACCCUGAUGCAGCGACGCCGCGUGGGUGAAGGAGUGCUUCGGCAUGUAAAGCCCUAUCGGCAGGGAAGAAGCAAGCCGUUAUCUGACUACGAAGCCCCGGCCAACUACGUGCCAGCAGCCGCGGUAAUACGUAGGGGGCGAGCGUUAUCCGGAUUCACUGGGUGUAAAGGGAGCGUAGACGGCCAUGCAAGCCAGGGGUGAAAGCCCGGGGCCCAACCCCGGGACUGCCCUUGGAACUGUGCGGCUAGAGUGCGGGAGGGGCAGGCGGAAUUCCUGGUGUAGCGGUGAAAUGCGUAGAUAUCAGGAGGAACACCGACGGCGAAGGCGGCCUGCUGGACUGCAACUGACGUUGAGGCUCGAAAGCGUGGGGAGCGAACAGGAUUAGAUACCCCAGUAGUC